Molecule: long non-coding RNA, 201 nt
Filed under: Elaeis guineensis (African oil palm)
Lineage: Eukaryota; Viridiplantae; Streptophyta; Magnoliopsida; Arecales; Arecaceae
Description: long non-coding RNA (EGUI_LNC017601)
Source: RNAcentral
UGGGUUGUAGUUCUACAUUAGGGAAAAAAUAAUUAAAGUCAUUUAAGUUUGAAAUGCUAGUAAUAAACACUUCUUGCAAAAGAUUUGCACCGGCUUAAAUAUGGUUAAGGUGAAGGGCCAUAUGUUUGGUGGCAAGCCCCCUAGAGAGGCAUAUUAUUUUGUGAUACUAAUAUUAUUUUCCUACUUUAGGUUUAAGAUUUC